GUGCUCACUUCAGCAGCACAUAUACUAAAGUUGGGACAAUACUGAGAAGAUUAGAAUGGCCCCUGUGCAAGGAUAACAGCAAAUUCAUGAAGGGUUCCAUAUUUUA
Molecule: small nuclear RNA, 106 nt
Filed under: Dasypus novemcinctus (nine-banded armadillo)
Lineage: Eukaryota; Metazoa; Chordata; Mammalia; Cingulata; Dasypodidae
Source: RNAcentral